CGGUCGCUUUGCGUGGCUCUUCUGCCGCUGUGGUCUCUGCGGCUAAGUGACUUUCGGGCCCUCGUUUGCGAGCGAGCGGCCGAGAUGCGGGAGACGCCGGGCCGUGGCGGUGCGGGCCGCUGGCCGUCGGCCCCGCGGGAGCGUGGUGAGGGCUAGCACGCAGGCUGAGGCCAUGGGAAGCCCGGCUCGUCAGGUGGCGCCACGCCGAGGACUCCGCUUUUCCGGAUGGUGGUAACCCGAGUUCGUUGCUGUCCCCUGAUGCAAGACAUGUUAAGGUAUUGUUUAAAGUAAUAGUGGCUGAGAUCUUUUCUGGGCACCCUACAAGGAUCUUCACGCUCAAAGUCUUGGGAUUGAGUAUUAACGGGUAUUAAUACAGCAUUGUUUUCAAUACGGUCCUGACCUUUAUUACUUACAAAGUUGUUUCAUGAGCCAAAUAAAGCUUGAUCGGUGAGUAAUAA
Cricetulus griseus (Chinese hamster) is the source of this 458-nucleotide non-coding RNA. The record is from RefSeq and is a predicted model, not a curated record. NCBI's taxonomy places the organism in Eukaryota, Metazoa, Chordata, Mammalia, Rodentia, Cricetidae.